GUCGAGCGAAGCGUAUUAGCGGAAGUUUUCGGAUGGAAGCGGAUAUGACUUAGCGGCGGACGGGUGAGUAACGCGUGGAUAACCUGCCUCAUACAGGGGGAUAACAGUUAGAAAUGACUGCUAAUACCGCAUAAGCGCACAGGACCGCAUGGUCCGGUGUGAAAAACUCCGGUGGUAUGGGAUGGAUCCGCGUCUGAUAGCUGGUUGGUGAGGUAACGGCCCACCAAGGCGACGAUCAGUAGCCGACCUGAGAGGGUGGCCGGCCACAUUGGGACUGAGACACGGCCCAAACUCCUACGGGAGGCAGCAGUGGGGAAUAUUGCACAAUGGGGGAAACCCUGAUGCAGCAACGCCGCGUGAGUGAAGAAGUAUUUCGGUAUGUAAAGCUCUAUCAGCAGGGAAGAAGAAAGACGGUACCUGACUAAGAAGCCCCGGCUAACUACGUGCCAGCAGCCGCGGUAAUACGUAGGGGGCAAGCGUUAUCCGGAUUUACUGGGUGUAAAGGGAGCGUAGACGGCUGUGCAAGUCUGAAGUGAAAGCCCGUGGCUCAACCGCGGAACUGCUUUGGAAACUGUAUAGCUUGAGUACUGGAGAGGCAGGCGGAAUUCCUAGUGUAGCGGUGAAAUGCGUAGAUAUUAGGAGGAACACCAGUGGCGAAGGCGGCCUGCUGGACAGAAACUGACGUUGAGGCUCGAAAGCGUGGGGAGCAAACAGGAUUAGAUACCCUGGUAGUCCACGCGGUAAACGAUGAAUGCUAGGUGUUGGGGAGCAAAGCUCUUCGGUGCCGUCGCAAACGCAGUAAGCAUUCCACCUGGGGAGUACGUUCG
RNAcentral lists this ribosomal RNA (827 nucleotides) under uncultured bacterium. Its description in RNAcentral is "bacterial SSU rRNA". It matches the Rfam family "Bacterial small subunit ribosomal RNA", at positions 61 to 888 of the family's 1533-position model. The record is from RNAcentral.